This 141-nucleotide small RNA is filed under the name Vibrio marisflavi. RNAcentral describes it as "rimP". It matches the Rfam family "Gammaprotebacteria rimP leader". The record is from RNAcentral. Lineage: Bacteria; Pseudomonadati; Pseudomonadota; Gammaproteobacteria; Vibrionales; Vibrionaceae.
UUGGAUUGUUUAACUAUCAGGGUCCAGCAACAAAAAACCCCGACGUUCGGGGUUUUUUGUUAUCUAAAGUUUUUCAGACGUUGCUUCUGGAUAUUUUGGAUAAUUGCUUGGGAUUUAUAAUGGGCUCUGAGCCCUUUUUUU